GCAGUCGUGGCCGAGUGGUUAAGGCGAUGGACUAGAAAUUCAUUGAGGUCUUCCUGCACAGGUUCGAAUCCUGUCGACUGCG
This is a non-coding RNA of Ixodes scapularis (black-legged tick), 82 nucleotides long. The record is from Rfam. Lineage: Eukaryota; Metazoa; Arthropoda; Arachnida; Ixodida; Ixodidae.